This 336-nucleotide RNase P RNA is filed under the name Bacillota bacterium. RNAcentral's name for it is "Firmicutes bacterium (anaerobic digester metagenome) RNase P RNA component class A". It matches the Rfam family "Bacterial RNase P class A". From Rfam's summary of the family: Ribonuclease P (RNase P) is a ubiquitous endoribonuclease, found in archaea, bacteria and eukarya as well as chloroplasts and mitochondria. Its best characterised activity is the generation of mature 5'-ends of tRNAs by cleaving the 5'-leader elements of precursor-tRNAs. Lineage: Bacteria; Bacillati; Bacillota. The record is from RNAcentral.
UGAGUGAGCCAGGUGAUCGCAAGGGCUAUGCCCUUGAGGAAAGUCCGAGCUCCAAAGAGCAGGAUGCUGGGUAACGCCCAGUAAGGGUAACCUUAAGGACAGUGCUACAGAAACAAACCGCCCCCUAGGGUAAGGGUGAAAAGGUGAGGUAAAAGCUCACCGGCGGCCAGGUGACUGGCCGGCCGGGCAAACCCCAUCCGGAGCAAGGUCAAAUAGGGAAGAAGAGGCUGCUCGCCUCAUUUGACUUCCGGGUUGACUGCAGGAAGUUUUAGGUAACUAAAACUCUAGAUAGAUGAUCAUCCCAGACAGAACUCGGCUUAUCGGUUCACUCAGCUU